CAAAUAUAUUUAUCCCUAAAAGUUUUAUAUAGAACAGCUUGUAGGUAAUAGUACUUUUAGAGGCCUAAUAAAUUAAUCAUUGCAAAUAUAAAAAGGUAAUAAAUAACAAAUUAAAAAUAAAAUUAGUAUACAAAAACUUUCUAGAACGAACGCUUUGAAAAUAAAUCAAAGUUUCUGGUACAGUCUGGCAACAACGCACUACAAUGUCGCAAAUUACUUCUAGUCCAUUCACUCACGGUAAAAUAUUGCAAAACCUGUAAAUUUUAAAGAACCGCUUGGAUUGACAUGAAAUUUGGCAUAAGCAUAGCAGCUAACAUGUCAAAGAAAAAACGUGAUAUUGUGCAGAUGUUUGCUUUUACCCUGUAGUGAAAAAAAUAAACGUUCAUAAUAAGUCCGGAAGUGGAUAAACUGACUAAUUCUAAGCAAUUAUUUUUGUUCUAUAGAGUUUUUUCACUAAGGCAAUACUUGUUGAGUUAUUUGCGAGUGAAUAAUAUAUUUAUUUUUCAAUAAAACAAAAACACGUUUUAGACGGUUUUUCGCAAAUAACUCGAAAACUAAAUAUUUUAUUGAGAAAAACAUUCUUAACAAAAAUAUAGCUUAUAAGAAGUGAAAAAAAAAAUGGUGUAUGUAUGAAGUCUGUACACAUCGUAGAAGUAGAGUUGUAGCUAAUGAAAAUUAGGUUUAUACUUAUCAAAUUCCAAAUCUAAUAUUUCAAUCUGAAAUAACCAAAAAAUUAAGCACUUAUUGGAGAAAACUCAUUUCAACUUUUUUAAAGUGUUUAAAAAAAGCUUUAAUUUUGUUUCAUUUUAAGUUUCUAGCAUCAAAAGUAAGCAAGUUACGCUCAAAAUAAAGUUGGUCCCAUUUUUAUAAAAAAAAGAUCGAGAAAGUCACCCCUUAAUUAGCAUCUCAAGUGAAAUUAAUCAUUUUCGUCACAAGUUGCUUUACUUUGUAUUAUUUAUGUGAUUUGUAAGUUUCAUCGGUUCAAACUGCGUAUUAAAAAAAAAAAAAAUUUGAAAAAAUUUGGUUUUUUUAUUUUUAAUUUUGAAACAAAUGAUUUUUUUUCCAAAUAACUUAAAAAUUAUUAGUGAUACCAAAAAUUUCAGAGGAAAAAAUGUGAGUUUAGCUUUCUGAAUUAUUUGGAUUUUUUGUUUUUCUGUAGACAAAAAUUGGUCAAGAUAUGGAUGUUCAAAAUUUCCAUACACUCGUGAUUAGUGACUCGUUCAAGCCUUUUCAACUACAGCCCUUAUAUUAGCAACUUUGAACCAAUGAAACUUACAUAUCAUAUAAACAAUACAUACAAGAGUAAAGCAACUUGUGAAGCGGUAACGAUUUGGGAUGCUAAAUUAGGGGGUGAUUUUCACGAUUUUUUACCAAAAAACAGGGACCAGGUUUAUUUUGCGCGUAACUUGCUUACUUUUGAUGGUAGAAACUUUUGUAGAAAACAAAAAUGAAGCUUUUUUCAACAUUUUAAACAAGUUGUCAUGAGUUUUUCAAAGUGAUUCAUUUUUUGGUUGUUUCACGUUGAAAUAUUCGAUUUGGAAUUUGACGAAUAUGAACCUAUUUUUCAUUAGCUACAAUUCUGCUUCUACUGAGUCUAGAGACCUCAUGCGUACAGCAUAUUUUUUUCACUUUUUAUAGUCUAUAUUUUUGCUAAGUGUUUUUUCAACAAAAUACUUACUUUUUGAGUUAUUUGCGAAAAACCGUCUAAAAACUUUUUUUUUGUUGAAAAAUGAACAUAUUGACUCGCAAAUAACUCAAAAACUUUUAAAUUAGUGAAAAAAACGCUAUUGAACAAAAAUUGCUUACAAGUAGUCAGUUUAUGCACUUCCAGACUCAUUUUAAACGUAUAUUUUUUCACCCCCGAAGAGGGGCGAGAGUCACUCCCAGGACCAAAGCACACAUCGGCACAAUAUCCCUUUUUUCUUUGACGUGUUAGCUAUGCGUAUGCCAAAUUAUAUGUCAAGCCAAGAGGUUCUUUAAAAUUUGGAGCAAAAACCGUGAGUAAAUGGACUAUUUUACUUUUUAAAAAAAUACUUUUAUAAUAUACUUUUCAAAGCCACCAUUCUAGUCGAACAAACACUAAAAGGCGUUCUUAACGAAUUAAAAAGCUUUAGAGCUAGCACAUUUGAAACUGGGUAAGUCGGGAAAACUAUAACUAUUAAAAUCACAUAGGAAGUGGGAAGAAAACUUUUGAUUAUUCCACUUUUUAUAACAGUAUCUUCAAUUAAAUAUGUAUAUUGUAGACAAAAGCUACCUAUAUCGACAAAAGGUCAGUGCAAAAAAUAGCUAAGUCCAUAUUUGUUCUAUAAUUGAGUUAAGUGGCGACAGGCGACAGCGAUAUAAAAUCAUGCGUAUUAAAAGUUCGCGAAGUAAGAUUUGUAACAAAAAGCUCCCUACUGGGUCCCACAGGUUAAAGUUUUAAUCAACCAUCAUUUCAGUGCAAGAAGUCACUAAGUGUCAAAAAGAAGUCCAAGUCCAUGGAAUUGGCAACUUAUUGCUACCGACACCAGCUCGAGAAUCGCACUAUAAAAGAUCUGAUGGUAGCAAUAGAAAAUACCUGGACCCUAAUAUAUUAAUCACUAAAUUACAUGAAAAAAUUUCAACACAAAUUCUGAUAAUAAAGCCUCAUAUGGGAUUUUUGAGAAGAUAUUCAAUGAGGAAUUUGACAUUUCCUUCGAGUAUCGAAGAAAGGAUACAUGCAAGACCUGUACAAAAUUCCCAGAUAGUACAAAGCAAGCUGACAUGAAUCUAUUAAGAUAAUCUUAAAAACACUUAAGAGAUUAAGAGUUUCAUCUUAGAAAAGCAGAUGUAUUUAAAACACAACUAGCUAAAGUUAAAAAAUCAACGGAUAUCUUCUCAAAUGAUUAUGAACAGAACCUGCCUUUACCUGUGACUAACGCACCAGAUGAAUAUUAAAUUAGUCGGUUAUGGUCGUACGUUUUUUGCAUUAUGACAUUCACAAUCCAAAAACUCGUUGUUUAUUGUAUACUUACACGAAAAAUUUUGCCCAAAAAGGUUAGAAUGAGGUUAUAACCUGAUUGAAUGAUUAUAUUGAAAAACACAAAGCUUCGAGGUACUCAAAAUUACAAAUUUUUGUGAUACCGCAUUUAUAAAAAUCGAAUUCUUUUCACUUGCCUAGAUGCGUUAUGCAAACGUAACAUUUUUAAGAUAUUUUAAUAUGGUAUCCUAUUCCAUGACACUCUAUGAUGCCAGUAGAUAGAUAUUUUGGUGCUAUUGAGAAGAAAACACUGAAACUAGAAGUAACUAACAAUCUUGAGUCUUACGUUGCGCUGAUCAGGUGAUGUAA
This 3307-nucleotide long non-coding RNA is filed under the name Diabrotica virgifera virgifera (western corn rootworm). RNAcentral's name for it is "uncharacterized LOC126890629". The record is from RNAcentral. Lineage: Eukaryota; Metazoa; Arthropoda; Insecta; Coleoptera; Chrysomelidae.